RNAcentral lists this ribosomal RNA (497 nucleotides) under uncultured bacterium. Its description in RNAcentral is "partial 16S ribosomal RNA". It matches the Rfam family "Bacterial small subunit ribosomal RNA", at positions 28 to 507 of the family's 1533-position model. The record is from RNAcentral.
GAUGAACGCUGGCGGCGUGCCUAAUACAUGCAAGUCGAGCGAACAGACGAGGAGCUUGCUCCUCUGACGUUAGCGGCGGACGGGUGAGUAACACGUGGAUAACCUCCCUAUCAGACUGGGAUAACUUCGGGAAACCGGAGCUAAUACCGGAUAAUAUAUUGAACCGCAUGGUUCAAUAGUGAAAGACGGUUUUGCUGUCACUUAUAGAUGGAUCCGCGCCGCAUUAGCUAGUUGGUAAGGUAACGGCUUACCAAGGCAACGAUGCGUAGCCGACCUGGGAGGGUGAUCGGCCACACGGGAAGGGAGACACGGUCCAGACGCCUAAGGGAGGCAGCAGUAGGGAAUCUGACGCAAUGGGCGAAAGCAUGACGGAGCAAGGCCGCGUGAGUGAUGAAGGUCUUCGGAGCGUAAAAAUCUGUUAUUAGGGAAGAACAAAUGUGUAAGUAACUAUGCACGUCUUGACGGUACCUAAUCAGAAAGCCACGGCUAACUACGUG